This 253-nucleotide ribosomal RNA is filed under the name uncultured bacterium. RNAcentral describes it as "partial 16S ribosomal RNA". It matches the Rfam family "Bacterial small subunit ribosomal RNA", at positions 524 to 776 of the family's 1533-position model. The record is from RNAcentral.
GACGUAGGUGGCCAGCGUUGCUCGGAAUUACUGGGCGUAAAGGGUUCGUAGGCGGUGCGGCAAGUUGGGAGUGCAAUCUCUGGGCUUAACCCAGAGGCUGCUUCCAAAACUGCCGUGCUAGAGUGCGAGAGAGGCCAGUGGACUUGCAGGUGUAGCGGUGAAAUGCGUAGAGAUCUGGAGGAACACCCGUGGCGAAGGCGGCUGGCUGGAUCGCAACUGACGCUGAGGAGCGAAAGCUAGGGGAGCAAACAGG